RNAcentral lists this ribosomal RNA (460 nucleotides) under uncultured bacterium. RNAcentral's name for it is "partial 16S ribosomal RNA". It matches the Rfam family "Bacterial small subunit ribosomal RNA", at positions 338 to 795 of the family's 1533-position model. The record is from RNAcentral.
CCUACGGGAGGCAGCAGUGAGGAAUAUUGGUCAAUGGGCGCGAGCCUGAACCAGCAAAGUAGCGUGAAGGAUGACUGCCCUACGGUUUGUAAACUUCUUUUAUAAAGGAAUAAAGUGAGGCACGUGUGCCUUUUUGUAUGUACUUUAUGAAUAAGGAUCGGCUAACUCCGUGCCAGCAGCGGCGGUAAUACGGAGGAUCCGAGCGUUAUCCGGAUUUAUUGGGUUUAAAGGGAGCGUAGAUGGGUUGUUAAGUCAGUUGUGAAAGUUUUCGGCUCAACCGUAAAAUUGCAAUUGAUACUGGCAGCCUUGAGUACAGUUGACGUAGGCGGAAUUCGUGGUGUAGCGGUGAAAUGCUUAGAUAUCACGAAGAACCCCGAUUGCGAAGGCAGCCUACUAAACUGCCACUGACAUUGAUGCUCGAAAGUGUGGGGAUCAAACAGGAUUAGAUACCCUAGUAGUC